RNAcentral lists this ribosomal RNA (509 nucleotides) under Pichia manshurica. Its description in RNAcentral is "eukaryotic LSU rRNA". It matches the Rfam family "Eukaryotic large subunit ribosomal RNA", at positions 54 to 575 of the family's 3401-position model. Lineage: Eukaryota; Fungi; Ascomycota; Pichiomycetes; Pichiales; Pichiaceae. The record is from RNAcentral.
AGGAAAAGAAACCAACAGGGAUUGCCCCAGUAGCGGCGAGUGAAGCGGCAAGAGCUCAGAUUUGAAAUCGUGUUUCGGCACGAGUUGUAGAGUGUAGGCGGGAGUCUCUGUGGAGCGCGGUGUCCAAGUCCCUUGGAACAGGGUGCCUGAGAGGGUGAGAGCCCCGUAGGGUGCUGCGCGAAGCUUUUGAGGCCCUGCUGACGAGUCGAGUUGUUUGGGAAUGCAGCUCCAAGCGGGUGGUAAAUUCCAUCUAAGGCUAAAUAUUGGCGAGAGACCGAUAGCGAACAAGUACUGUGAAGGAAAGAUGAAAAGCACUUUGAAAAGAGAGUGAAACAGCACGUGAAAUUGUUGAAAGGGAAGGGUAUUGGGCUCGACAUGGGGGGUGCGCACCGCUGUCUCUUGUAGGCGGCGCUCUGGGCGCCCUCUGGGCCAGCAUCGGUUCCUGCUGCGGGAGAAGGGGCUCCGGAAAGUGGCUCUUCGGAGUGUUAUAGCCGGGGCCAGAUGCCGCG